CACUGUGAAGCUGAAAGCGUUAACCUUUUAAGUUAAAAUUAGAGAUUUCCCUUAAUCUCCACAGUGA
This 67-nucleotide transfer RNA is filed under the name Hyomys goliath. RNAcentral describes it as "tRNA-Lys". Lineage: Eukaryota; Metazoa; Chordata; Mammalia; Rodentia; Muridae. The record is from RNAcentral.